GGCUUAGAGAUUGAUUCACAGCCUUCAUUUGAUGCUACUGUAUGGGUAGAAGCUACAGGAGGUAUUUUUAAAAAUAAGGUGUAUGAAUUUGGGCCGAAUGCAUAUUCAUCCAACAUACUCACGAGGACUGCUACAUCAUGCUCUGAUGAUCUUUCAGGGAGUACAUCUACUGCUUAUUCUGCUACUCCAAGAGCUAUGGAAAUGACACAGAAGCAUAUUAUAGCAGCUUUGAUAAACCCUCAACAUAGAGAGAUACUGCGAUCUCUUAUUUCUAGUCUUGAUUUUACAUCAUCUGAACAGUUGUCAUCUCCUCCAUAAGAAGAAGUUCAAUCAAAUAUCCCUCUAACUGAUCCUCCAUGUGAUUGAUUCUUGGAUAUAAACUUAUUAAAUGUAGUCUCUUAUUUAAUGCUGAAAACUAAUUGAAAUUUAAUUAUUUAAUAUUUUGAUAUAUUAUAUUUAUUUAUAAAUUAAAAUCUUAAUGAAU
RNAcentral lists this long non-coding RNA (484 nucleotides) under Elaeis guineensis (African oil palm). Its description in RNAcentral is "long non-coding RNA (EGUI_LNC078130)". The record is from RNAcentral. Lineage: Eukaryota; Viridiplantae; Streptophyta; Magnoliopsida; Arecales; Arecaceae.